Unclassified non-coding RNA from Cercocebus atys (sooty mangabey), 102 nucleotides. It matches the Rfam family "Y RNA". From Rfam's summary of the family: Y RNAs are components of the Ro ribonucleoprotein particle (Ro RNP), in association with Ro60 and La proteins. The Y RNAs and Ro60 and La proteins are well conserved, but the function of the Ro RNP is not known. Lineage: Eukaryota; Metazoa; Chordata; Mammalia; Primates; Cercopithecidae. The record is from Ensembl.
GGCUGGCCCAAGUGUGGUGGUGUCUAUAACUAACUGAUCACAACUAGUUACAAAUGUCUUUGUUGUUUCUCCACUGUCACUGUUUCAAUUAACUAGCUUUAA